Long non-coding RNA from Nematostella vectensis (starlet sea anemone), 6753 nucleotides. RefSeq lists it as uncharacterized. NCBI's taxonomy places the organism in Eukaryota, Metazoa, Cnidaria, Anthozoa, Actiniaria, Edwardsiidae. The transcript has 2 exons. The record is from RefSeq and is a predicted model, not a curated record.
CACGGGUAAUAGACUGUGCUAGCGUCCCGUUUUGGCCCGACUGGUGCCAAUGUGUGUAUGCUAGUGUGCUUCUAAAGUUCACACUUAAUAAAAAAAUGGUUUGCAAAAAAAAAGUCGGUACUUUUUUUGUGGAACCACUUGAUAUUCCUUGGUAGAUCGUAGCAUAUUUAGAUCAAGAAUUAUACGACUAAUACGACUAACUUGCGAACUUACCGUGUUUCUCAGUUCUUAGGAUCUGCAAGUUUUCCCGCGAAAGCGCUCACGUGGUAUGAUUUUAUAGUCACAUUUCCCGCCAAAUUAAGCACGUGACUAAUUCCGUGCAAACAUCCCCUUCCCCCUCCCCACCACCAUGUUUUGUCGGCCAUCUUGUUCUGUUAGAUGUUCUUCGACGUAGGUAAACAAAGGGUCCUUGCGCUUUAGAAAUUUAUUCCUGUAGCUAUUUCUUUCUCUGAUCCUUUAGAGAAGAUUUUUCGUAGCUAACCGGAUAUUUUUGUGACGGCCGUGCAUCUAGCAUUCUCGAGGGUUUACGAAGCUCUUGCACGGCCUAUUUUGGUUUAGGGUGAUUUUUGCUUAAAAGAGUGGUUUCUUGGCUUUUAGUGGUGGCUAUCGCCCAGAAAUGGGUGUAUAAAGCAGUCUUAGUAAUUCAUAAUCAUAGGUAAGCACUAGAAAAUGUUUUAACUUAGGUAUAAACUCCGAGGUUUGGCGAAUAAUGGCGAAAACGACUAAGUGUCGAACCCCACGCUUCGUUCAUUAUGUACCGAGCAUUCGCAUACCGCCUGUGGUAUACGUUUUUACGCAGUGUCUACUUGCACGGCUUCCGGUAAGGGCUGGUUCACACUAGCGACAUAACGGACACUCUUUUUUCCUAUGUUUAAACUGUGAAUGGUUCAAAAUAAUGACAUAACGACGGACACAUAACGACAUAGGAGAAACAACAUGUUUUUUUUUUUCUUAUGUCGUUAUGUCAAUGUCGUUAUACAAGGACAUAAGGGCGCGAUGUUAUGUCGUUAUGUCGCUAGUGUGAACCAGCCUUAAAGCAGGAAAAAAAACUAGCUGCACGGCUGUCUCCCAUUGUCUCGAUUUUUAGUCUAAAUAACAAGUUUCUGGCUUUGAAACACUUCCAGGAUUAUUUAGAACAGGCAAGCGAUGAUUUUAAGCCUGAAAAGCUAUGAAAAGAGCGGCCCGCAAAUGCUCGGCACGGUAUGAACGAAGUUCGACAGUCGUUUUCGCCAUAUUACAGCCGUGCAAGGAGAGAACAAAACUAGAUGCACGGCCCUUUUUUCUUUUCGCCAUUUUAAGCAAAAAUGAAAAGUUCUGACUUUAAAAACCUCCAACUGUUAUUUAGAACCGUCAAGCGAUGGCUUUGAGCUUGAAAAAAAAUGCAAAAGGCGACAUGCGAAUGCUCGGCAUAUAAUGAACGAAGCCUGGAAUUCGACACAGCCGUUUUCGUCAUCGAUCGCCAAGCCAAACAGGUUAGCACCAGGCGCGUACCCAGCAUUGGUUGAAGGGGGAUAUGGAAAGAGGAAAAUAUUUGAAGAAACGACCCAUUUUCUGGCCUCCAAGGGGGUGCUCAUGCACCCUGCACACCCCCUGUGUAUGUGCCUGAGCAUUGUAUAUCUUGAGAUAAUCAUAAUAAUCAUAAUGUGGCCCUCUAAAACACACAACCAAGUAAGAACAUAAUCGCAAAAAUUAGAUAUGUUGAAUUAAUCAUCUCUGAUGGUUUUUUAUUCAUACGUCACUAUGAUUAGUAAACCUUAUCAUAAAGAAUCUUAGAGAUCAAUCUAAAUAUGAACUUAAUUGGUCUGGAAGUAUGGUUGUAUAUAGGUAUUUUAGGUGGAAUGGAUUUAAUGGGGUGAUUUGCAGGAGAUAACACCUGGCAUACCAGGGGCGUAGCCAAUGGGGUGACCAAGGGGGCCUGCCCCCCCCUUCCUCCUUUAGGAGCCAAAAAUACAGUAAAUGUAUAAGGACAUAAAAUACAGGAGAAAAUGCCCUGAAAGGGCCUCUGGCCCCCCUUUCUGUUAAAAAUCCUGACUAAGCCGCUGCAUACCCCUCCUGGUAUAAAGCUCCUCUGCUCCAUAGUUCCUCUCCUAAGGGUUCCUUAGGUUCUCUAAGCACCAACUGCUGGUUAAUUUCUCCAUGUUGAGCCAGCUGAACACGUUUUCUCACUUAUGACAAAUUCCUUUAGGAACAGCCCUCCUGCCAUAUCACCAGCACACUAGCAACAGAGCCCCUCCAUUAUUAUACUGUAUGCCACAUCUAACAUCCCCAUCCACUUAGCCUUCCCCUUCCACUACAACAACCUACACAACACCAGAAUUAAUACCAUAAUAUUUCCAUCCUAAAGUUGUACAUGAACCGUCACUUAGGGGCGGAGUAUUGAGGCAUUUUUCAUUUGAGUUUUCACAAGGGAGCCAUCAACCCUCCUCUUUUCAGAUCAGUGCAUGGUAUCGAAACAGGUAAGUAUAUGUAUUAGAAAGCUAUUUUCCACAACAUUCCAUCAAUUUUUACCAUUUUAAAAGUCUAGAAAAGUCACCCAGUCCUAUAAUUGUCUCUGAAUUUUGCCUUGGGCCUCCCACUUUUUUAGGCCAGCUCCGCCUGCCAGCUCCCGGGUUGAGAGGUGUAGAAGUCCUCUCGUAAGGCCUAACAGGAUUGGCUGGAUUACCUCAUUGUUCUAUUGUAUUCCCGUUCUAUUGUUUUGUCUGUGGUGCAUCAAUCCAAUCAGGUGAAAUCUUCUGAUAGCUUCUACAUGACCCCCCUGGUUAGGUAUAGGAUAGCAGAAUGGGUGUGGUCAACAGAAAUUUGAACCCUUUAGAGACAGCAAAUCAGGGUCUUAAAUGUUCAAAUGAUAUUCAGUUAGCAAACCAAUUUAUUUCUUGUCCACAAACAGCAUAAAACAUGCAAGAGGAUAGUAUGUGUACCUAUGAAAAGGUCUUAAAGUAUAGGGAUAGGGCAGCCAUUAUCAUUAUUAUCAUUAUUACCAUUUUUAUCAUUAUUAUUCAUUUAUAUUUUUACAAAUGAAAUAGAGAAUCCCAAAGAAAUGCUGCUUGCAAACAACUAAUGAUAAGAGUAAUAAUGAUAAUAAUAAUGAUAUUGAUAAUAAAGGCUGGUUUGUGAUUGACAGUGAUUUCGUGCAACAAUGUUUGAUCAUAUGGAAAUCACUUUGCAUUAAUGGGAUUGGUUGUGAUCACACAGUGAAAUAAGCUGCAAUCGUGGGCAAUCAAGUGAGAUCAUAUGGGGAACAAACAAACAAGCAAAAUAGAUAAAAAACAAAGUAUAAGAGAGAAAUGUAAUAUCAUAUUAGAUAAUAUGGGUAUCAAUCUGUAAAUAAAUGUGAAUAAGUAAAUAAAUGAAUAAUCAAAUAGAUCAGGGCCGCAGCAGGGGUUGGGGCACAAGGAAAUGACAAGUAGGGGUGUGGCUGUGUCCCCUUAAUAUUAUCUUAAUGUUUCUGUAUUGUGCCACCCCCCCCCCCCCCCCCGCCAACAUUUUGAGGCAUGCUACAGCCCUGUAGAUUAUUUAACAAACGGAAGAAUUAUAAUAAAAAAAUUGUAUAGAUUCUGGCUAAAAAAGUAAGAAAUACCCUUUUCAAUGCAAUUCGUCAACCUCCCCUCCCCCAAAGCUUUGUCCAACUUGUUUUGUUGUUAUGUUCUGUUAUGGACUGUUGGGCCUUAGAAAUUUAUUGCUGUGUUUAUAUUUUUCACUGUCUUUAGAAACGAUUCUUCACAAUUCAGAUGUUCAAUAUUUUAAUUUUAGAUUGAGUUUUUCGAAGCGAACCGGAUAUUUUUGUGACAGCCGUGCAUCUAGCGUUUCCGAGAGCUUAUGGAUUGGCGUGAUUUUUUAUUAAAAGAGUGGUUUCUUGGCUCUUAGUGAUAGCUAUCGUCCAGAAAUUGGUGGAUAAAGCAGUCUUAGUAAUCCAUAGCCAAAGAUUAGCGCCAGAAAAUAUUUUAACUUAGUUCUUACCUGUGUGGCUUGGCGAUCGAUGGCGAAAACGGCUGUGUCGAAUUCCAGGCUUCGUUCAAGUUAUGUGCCGAGCAUUCGCAUGUCGCCUUUUGCAAUUUUUUUCAAGCUCAAAGCCAUCGCUUGACGGUUCUAAAUAACAGUUGGAGGUUUUUAAAGUCAGAACUUUUCAUUUUGGCUUAAAAUGGCGAAAAGAAAAAAGGGCCGUGCAUCUAGUUUUGUUCUCUCCGUGCACGGCUGUAAUAUGGCGAAAACGACUGUGUCGAACUCCACUCUUCGUUCAUACCGUGCCAAGCAUUUGCGGGCCGCUCGUUUCAUAGCUUUUCAGGCUUGAAAUCAUAGCUUGCCUGUUUUAAAUAAUCCUGGAAGUGUUUCAAAGCCAGAAACUUGUUAUUUAGGCUUAAAAGCGAGAAAAUGGGAGACAGCCGUGCAGCUAGAUUUUUUUCCUCCUUUACCGGAAGCCGUGCAAGUAAACAACUGCGAUGUUUUUAAGCUCAAUGCAAUCGCUUUACUAUUCUAAAUAAUUUUUGUUUUGUUUUUAAAGUCAGAACUUUUCAUUUUUGCCUAAAAUGGCGAAAAGAAAAAAGGGCAGUGCAUCUGGUUUCUUUCUCUCCGUGCACGGCUGUAAUAUGGCGAAAACAAGUGUCGAACUCCACGCUUCGUUCAUACUGUGCCGAGCAUUUGCGGGCCGCUCGUUGCAUAGCUUUUCAAGCUGAAAAAUAUCGCUUGGCUGUUUUAAAUAAUCGUGGAAGGUUUUUAAAGCCAGAAACUUCUUAUUUAGGCUUAAAAUCGAGAAAAUAGGAGACAGCCGUGCAGCUAGUUUUUUUCCUCCUUUACCGGAAGCCGUGCAAGUAGACACUGCGUUUUAUAUUUUUCUUCUCCCCAAAACUAAGUCAAUAUUUUUUUAUUAAUAAUUUUUUCAUAGGAUUUUAAUAUGUUUUUUAAUGUUUGUGAUAGCAAAAUAAGCUAAAAUAAAUUUCAAACCUACCUGGACUUUGUAUAGUUCGCCAAUACUCUCUGACUCUCGGUGGCUUUCUAGUAGCUGUUCAUCCGAGACAAUCGAGUGAGGUAAUCGCAGAUUUUCUUGAGACGGCUCAUCGUCGUAACUCAAAAUUUGUCUUCUCGCGAUUUGUUUGCCACCUUUUCUUAGUACUUUUGCAGGGGGUCCCUUUACCUAAUCACACUUGCCAAACAAGCUCGACAAAUGUAUUCAUUUAUGUCACCUAGCUCGACAUCAAAUAUUUCCGAAAUGUUCUCUCCGAGACCGACGCUUCUUUCUUGUAGUUUGGUCCUGUGUUUACUAUCCGUUAUGUGCUGGUUGCAAAUAAAGCUACCAUUCAUGCUAAAAAAAAAAUAACUACAAUUGUUUUUUAUGAGGCUAAAUGCUCGCAUUUAGGCAAGGUUAGACUCACAACACAGGGCAGUGUCUAAGAUAUCUAGAGGUUAUGCGUACGCGACCUGCGCCGGCGCGCGUGGUGCAGCGGUAUGCUUUCGAAGGGUAGCUUUGCACCGAGCGGCAAAUGCUCUCUGAUCAAACGUCGUUUCGUGCUAAGACGUAGGAAGCGAUUUAGCAAUUUUUUCGUGACAUUUCUGGUUUUUCUUCGGCGGUAUGGCGGACAGGCCUUCGACCGAGUUCAUGGAAGCUAUCCGGGAGGUGAUGAAGGAGGAGAUUCGCUCUUUUGCCCAAUUUCCGGCGGCGAGCAGUGAAAAACCAAUAACAUCGAGUCCAGGACGAGACGAAAACGGGGUCGGCGGGGAUUUUCCGGCGUCAGGUACCAGGGCGACUCCCGUAACGCCAGGUGUGUUGCCAGAUACCGUCAACACUUUCUCUAUCGCGUCGGCGCCGUCCGGUGUGGCGGGUUUGAGUGCUGCUCUCCCGUUAUCGGUCUCCUCGGGCAGCGUUGACUUGACGGCCAUGGCGCCCAUGAUGAUGCAUUCUCUGGCGGUCGGAGAGCCGUUUAUUGUGGCACCUGGUUUCUCGCCAGUCCCUGCAAAACUGGUAUCAUCAAUUGUGGGCGGGCGGUUCGUGGAGCUUAGCGAGCUUUUGACUUCAAACCUGCGAGAGGCAAACUUGGAGCCGCAGCUCUUUAUGAACGGCAAUCUUGUACUUACGACGCCAAAUAAGAGACCUCGGCGGGCCAUCGAGGAUAUUGGGGCGUGGUGUGAGGCGUUUUUAAUCUAUGCCCUGAUCCUUUGCUCUCAGUUCCUUCAGAGAAAUCGGGGUUUACUGCUGUACAAGUUAGGAUUUUGCGCACUUAUCGCCAGUUCGCCGGUCGCGUAUGGCUGAAUUACGAUAGGGCGUUUCGCGAGCACGCGGCCGCGGCCAAGCUGACCGAUUGGUCCCAACUUCACCCGCAGAUAAAUAACGUUUGCGCAGCGGGAGCGUUAGCCCGCCCGGAAGCCGGUAGGGGUCGCCCUACAAUUUGGAAGCAUGUCGCUUGUGGAAUUUCGCCAGGUGUUACUUCCCGGGGUGCCGCUACACCCACCAGUGCACUUACUGCGACGGGAACCAUCCGGUGCGCGAGUGCCCGUCGAGCGCAGAGCAAAAGCGCAAGGCGUCGUCUCCAGAGCCACUACCUGGAAAGAAGUCGCGCACGCGGUGGGCCUGAGAUGGCCCAGGGCGGCAGCAGGAUCGUCAAACCCUUGUAGGGUUUGUUGACUGUUUUAGAGACAGUAGUCUACUAGUUAUGGUACUUUUACUUAAUAUCUUAUGCGCCUAUUCUUGCACCUCAGCAGGUUGUUGUAUGGCAGUUGUGUAUACGAGGGUUCUUGUAAGCUUAUAAACUAGAGUACUUGUCA